AUGUUAAGGUUUCAGGCACAAGGCAGUUUACGUCCGGUGGCUCAGUCUUUCACCAAAGAAGUUAUCCUCCUGCCAGACCAUACAUCUACACAUGUGCCAAGGCGUGCCAAGAAAGCUUGGCUUUUUGAAAAGGGACAUAUAAAGUCUGCCUUAGAAUUUGGGUGUGACUGGGACGCUGACAAAGUUAUGCAGACUAUAACAGCAGCCUUCCAGCCAGUUGUGGAGGGAUGCAGAUUACAAAUCUUGAUGUCGUGCUACAACAAAUUAGUGGAGCCAUCCCUGACUUCUAAACAGACUUUAGGUGGAGACCUUCUGAAAAAACUUUUUCUUCAGAAGUCCAUUUAUGUCAGGCCUGACAAGGUCAUUUUAAGUGAAGAGAAAGAAUCUUCAUGUUCUGAUGAAGACAGUAGCAACACAAACAAGAAUGAUUUCAAAGAAACAUCGGAUCCUGACAAAUGUGGUAAAUACUUUUAUUUACAUCCAUAUAAUUUUUUUUUUUUUUCAUUUUAAAUCUACUACAUAAUGUAAUGUUGAAGAUAUAAAUGUGUUCUGUUGCUUACACUCUCAUAUAAGUGAAAUCCUAAUAGAAAAAUUAACCAGCUAUUUUUCCUUGUUUAUACAGUCACUGAUAGUGUGCCUGACAUUUCCAAAGAUGUUUUUUCAGCCAUCUCCACUGUUGAGGUCAGGGGCGGACUUACCCAUUAGGCAAAGGUAGGCGACUGCCUUGGGCCCCCAAAAGCCAAGGGCCCCCUAAUGCUUUUCAUAUAGGAGAUGCGCAUUAAGCGCGGACACGCGAACGGUUGCUGUUUACGGUGUUUAUGCACGACAAUCGUCUGCGCGUCCGAGUUGAACGUGCUUCUUGUGUAUCCAGCUUGUAGCAAAAUAAAAUUUUAUGCAUCUAAAGCUGACUGCCGCACGAGCGCGAGGUCCCUCUUUCCCAGCGCGGCACACUUCUCUCUCUGCGUUCAGCGCGCGGCUGAAAGGAGCUGCGCUUUCAGUUAAAACACUGAUAUGUUGCUUCUCUAAUUUUACAUAUAAGUAUAGCUGAAAUCACAGCACAGCUAUUGUCUUCAAGCUAUUCUGUAGCCUAUUUGAUUUUUAUCAGACGACGGCACGAUUAUAUAUUUUUGUGCAGAUUAACUUCUCGGAAGGGAGAGCUGGUUAGUCUUAAUGGGUCGCGUUUCAGUUACUAUUUCAUAUUCAUCCCGUUGUCUGACAACAAACAGUCAAAUGUAUCAAUGAAAACAGUUUUGAGAAUUUAGCUGCAUCAAAAUACAGUAUGUGGCACAGAGAGGCAAACAAAUGUAAUAAUAAAUAAUAAAUGUACAUUUUGCAUGUUCAGAAGUGAGCUGCCCUGUCAUGCGAAAAUGCAAACAGGUUUGUGUAAAGUGCUCAGUGCAAAGAAAGCGAAUUAAUAGGAAGCUAGUAUUUCUGUUUUUUUAUUUUUUUCAUGUGUCUAAUAGACAUGAACAAGUUCUUUGAAAAACAUCUAUGACCUAUGAAACAUGUCUACUCUUCAUGCUCUGUUAACUGGUUUCACUAAUAAUAAACAUUUAUUGCAUAAAUUAAUUUUUGCAUUACAAAAAUGCCUUAAAAGAAAGUGUUACAGGUGUGCAUAUUGACACAGAACAAUGAGUUUUAAGAUAUGUCAGAGCAAGAUAUUUUCAGUUGAGACAGCUCAAACAUGCAUUUUAGUCUGGGACUAGCUUAAGCCUUGUCUGUGCAACCAUGGGGAAAAUAUUCAUUUAAGGUACAUUUAGAACAGAUAAAAAUGUGCAAUUAAGUUGCGAUUAUUCACAAGUUAACUCAUGACAAUCAUGCCAUUAAUCGUGAUUAUAUAUUUUAAUUGAUUGACAGCCCUAAGUUAAAAUGACUAAAAUAAAAUGUAGGCUUACGCUGGUAACUCACAUUUUCAUUUUACCUGAUAAAGUACCAUUUAUGAGCUGAGCUGUUUUGUUUAGAGCUGUUACCGGGGAAACCACUAUAUUUCUGACUCCAAAAGCACCUCCUACUGGCAGAGAAUGAAUGUGCAUUUUCAAUAAUCCAGUCUGCAGUUUUUGUUCAGACCAAUGCGAAUAUUCACUCACAUAAAUCUGUUUUAAAUAAUAUUAUAAUUUAUACUUCUGACUCAUCCCAGAAAUAUAAAGUUUCAGUUGUGAGGUUUAUCAUUUUAUAAUUUAUUUUGUUUUAUGUGAAAACAAAAAAAACGGUAAAUCAAUUGCUAUUUCGUGGUCUACAACAUGAAAUAAUAAAAGUAUCUGCUAAAUGAAUAAAUGUAAA
Long non-coding RNA from Cyprinus carpio carpio, 2280 nucleotides. The record is from Ensembl. Lineage: Eukaryota; Metazoa; Chordata; Actinopteri; Cypriniformes; Cyprinidae.